CCUACGGGGGGCUGCAGUGGGGAAUUUUGGACAAUGGGCGCAAGCCUGAUCCAGCAAUGCCGCGUGCAGGAUGAAGGCCUUCGGGUUGUAAACUGCUUUUGUACGGAACGAAAAGCUUUUCUCUAAUACAGGAGAGUGAUGACGGUACCGUAAGAAUAAGCACCGGCUAACUACGUGCCAGCAGCCGCGGUAAUACGUAGGGUGCGAGCGUUAAUCGGAAUUACUGGGCGUAAAGCGUGCGCAGGCGGUUAUGUAAGACAGAGGUGAAAUCCCCGGGCUCAACCUGGGAACUGCCUUUGUGACUGCAUAGCUAGAGUACGGUAGAGGGGGAUGGAAUUCCGCGUGUAGCAGUGAAAUGCGUAGAUAUGCGGAGGAACACCGAUGGCGAAGGCAAUCCCCUGGACCUGUACUGACGCUCAUGCACGAAAGCGUGGGGAGCA
This 440-nucleotide ribosomal RNA is filed under the name uncultured bacterium. RNAcentral's name for it is "bacterial SSU rRNA". It matches the Rfam family "Bacterial small subunit ribosomal RNA", at positions 338 to 770 of the family's 1533-position model. The record is from RNAcentral.